Molecule: ribosomal RNA, 253 nt
Filed under: uncultured bacterium
Lineage: Bacteria
Description: partial 16S ribosomal RNA
Rfam family: Bacterial small subunit ribosomal RNA
Source: RNAcentral
UACGUAGGGGGCAAGCGUUGUCCGGAUUUAUUGGGCGUAAAGCGCGCGUAGGCGGCACGGUAUGUCGUGCGUGAAAUCUCCCGGCUUAACUGGGAGGGGCCGUGCGAAACUGCCUGGCUUGAGGUCGGUAGGGGAAAGUGGAAUUCCGGGUGUAGUGGUGGAAUACGUAGAUAUCCGGAGGAACACCAGCGGCGAAGGCGGCUUUCUGGUCCGAUGCUGACGCUGAGGCGCGAAAGCGUGGGGAGCAAACGGG